CCUACGGGAGGCAGCAGUGGGGGAUAUUGCACAAUGGGGGGAACCCUGAUGCAGCGACGCCGCGUGGGUGAAGAAGCGCCUCGGCGCGUAAAGCUCUGUCAGCAGGGAAGAAAAUGACGGUACCUGAAGAAGAAGCCCCGGCUAACUACGUGCCAGCAGCCGCGGUAAUACGUAGGGGGCAAGCGUUAUCCGGAUUUACUGGGUGUAAAGGGGGCGCAGACGGCGAUGCAAGUCAGGAGUGAAAGCCCGGGGCUCAACCCCGGGACUGCUCUUGGAACUGCGUGGCUGGAGUGCAGGAGGGGCAGGCGGAAUUCCUGGUGUAGCGGUGAAAUGCGUAGAUAUCAGGAGGAACACCAGUGGCGAAGGCGGCCUGCUGGACCGUAACUGACGUUGAGGCUCGAAAGCGUGGGGAGCAAACAGGAUUAGAUACCCGUGUAGUC
This 440-nucleotide ribosomal RNA is filed under the name uncultured bacterium. Its description in RNAcentral is "partial 16S ribosomal RNA". It matches the Rfam family "Bacterial small subunit ribosomal RNA", at positions 338 to 795 of the family's 1533-position model. The record is from RNAcentral.